Molecule: ribosomal RNA, 406 nt
Filed under: uncultured bacterium
Lineage: Bacteria
Description: partial 16S ribosomal RNA
Rfam family: Bacterial small subunit ribosomal RNA
Source: RNAcentral
AUUGAACGCUGGCGGCAGGCCUAACACAUGCAAGUCGAGCGAGCGGCGGACGGGUGAGUAAUGUCUGGGAAACUGCCUGCUGGAGGGGGAUAACUACUGGAAACGGUAGCUAAUACUGCAUACCAUCAGAUGUGCCCUGAUGGGACUAGCUAGUAGGUGGGGUAACGGCUCACCUCGGCGACGAUCCCUAGCUGGUCUGCGAGGUUGACCAGGCACACUGUAACAGAGACACGGGCCAGCCUCCGACGCUAGUCAGCAGUGGGGAAUAUUGCACAAUGGGCGCAAGCCUGAUGCAGCCAUGCCGCGUGUGUGAAGAAGGCCUUCGGGUUGUAAAGCACUUUCAGCGGGGAGGCGGUACCCGCAGAAGAAGCACCGGCUAACUCCGUGCCAGCAGCCGCGGUAAUAC